UACGAAGGGGGCUAGCGUUGCUCGGAAUCACUGGGCGUAAAGCGCACGUAGGCGGCUUUUUAAGUCAGGGGUGAAAUCCUGGAGCUCAACUCCAGAACUGCCUUUGAUACUGGGAAGCUUGAGUCCGGGAGAGGUGAGUGGAACUCCGAGUGUAGAGGUGAAAUUCGUAGAUAUUGGGAAGAACACCGGUGGCGAAGGCGGCUAUCUGGACCGACAUUGACGCUGAGGCGCGAAAGCGUGGGGAGCAAACAGG
This 253-nucleotide ribosomal RNA is filed under the name uncultured bacterium. RNAcentral's name for it is "partial 16S ribosomal RNA". It matches the Rfam family "Bacterial small subunit ribosomal RNA", at positions 524 to 776 of the family's 1533-position model. The record is from RNAcentral.